Long non-coding RNA from Centruroides sculpturatus (bark scorpion), 932 nucleotides. RefSeq lists it as uncharacterized. The transcript has 4 exons. The record is from RefSeq and is a predicted model, not a curated record. Lineage: Eukaryota; Metazoa; Arthropoda; Arachnida; Scorpiones; Buthidae.
CGGAACGUUUAACCUGAAGAAGGCCGAAAAAUACGGUCGAAAACGUUUGUUUUUCAAAUAAAUAUUUUGCUAAUCACUCAAAGGUUUAUUGUGAAUCUAUUUUUAUAUAUAUUGAACCAGUACCUGAACCGUUUUACGUUGAAUGUUUCAAAGUAAAUAUUCGUUUAUCAUCGAAAUUACAUUUUUCAACACUGGUCUUAAUUAGUGGCAAAUAUCGUUUGUACAUUUAAAAUUUCUUCGUGUUAACAAGUUUAAAGUUUUUAAAAUAUUAUCAAAUUAUGUAUCUUGGAGGCAGCCAACAUUUCUCUUGAAGAAUUCCCUUAAAAAUGACAAGUUUUGAAGAAGAAAGUAAAUACUGUAUUUACAACUGAAAAAAAAUGGAUUUGAUAUUGUAAAGUAAUUACUUCCAAGCUAUGCUGAAGUAACUUUUUCUGCAUUUUUUUGUAAUUAAUAUAAACGGAUUACUUUAUACGUUAACCUUGAAGUUUAGUACUGUAUAUUGUAUUUCGUAGAUUUUCUGUAUCAAAGUCCGAAAAAGAGAAAGUUUUUCUGUGGAAAUUGUGACAAAAAAUUCUGUUUAAAUUCACUUUGAAAUUCAUAGGAGGAUUCACACAGCAAAAAUCGUUUUGUAGCCAGUUAUGCGGUAAAACCGAAUUUUUCGCAAUUAUUCCGGAGAGAAAUCUUUUACCUGCACCACUGCAAACGGAGAUUUACACAAAAGAUCAAUGUAGAAAGGCAUCUUCGAAUUCAUACGGGAGAGAAAUAAUCUAACUGCGAUUAUUGUUUACAAAAGUCUGCUUACAAAUACAGUGUAAAUUCUUACAUGAAACGCUGUAGCAAAGAUUUUCUUAAUUAAUAUAAUUAUUGUAAAAUUUCGAAAUUUGAAAGAAAUAAUAUAAUUCCCAACGUUGCUAUUUAUUCAUUUCCUACGA